Molecule: ribosomal RNA, 631 nt
Filed under: uncultured Bacteroides sp.
Lineage: Bacteria; Pseudomonadati; Bacteroidota; Bacteroidia; Bacteroidales; Bacteroidaceae
Description: partial 16S ribosomal RNA
Rfam family: Bacterial small subunit ribosomal RNA
Source: RNAcentral
GUUAUCCGGAUUUAUUGGGUUUAAAGGGAGCGUAGAUGGNUNNUUAAGUCAGUUGUGAAAGUUUGNGGCUCAACCGUAAAAUUGCANUUGAUACUGGNNNUCUUGAGUNCAGUUGAGGNAGGCGGAAUUCGUGGUGUAGCGGUGAAAUGCUUAGAUAUCACGAAGAACUCCGAUUGCGAAGGCAGCNUNCUAANCUGNAACUGACAUUGANGCUCGAAAGUGUGGGUAUCAAACAGGAUUAGAUACCCUGGUAGUCCACACGGUAAACGAUGAAUACUCGCUGUUUGCGAUAUACNGNMWGCGGCCAAGCGAAAGCGUUAAGUAUUCCACCUGGGGAGUACGCCGGCAACGGUGAAACUCAAAGGAAUUGACGGGGGCCCGCACAAGCGGAGGAACAUGUGGUUUAAUUCGAUGAUACGCGAGGAACCUUACCCGGGCUUAAAUUGCAGAUGAAUUACGGUGAAAGCCGUAAGCCGCAAGGCAUCUGUGAAGGUGCUGCAUGGUUGUCGUCAGCUCGUGCCGUGAGGUGUCGGCUUAAGUGCCAUAACGAGCGCAACCCUUGUUGUCAGUUACUAACAGGUUCCGCUGAGGACUCUGUCAAGACUGCCAUCGUAAGAUGUGAGGAAGGUGG